GACGAACGCUGGCGGCGUGCCUAAUACAUGCAAGUUGAACGCUUUGUCUUUCACCGGAGCUUGCUCCACCGAAAGAAAAAGAGUGGCGAACGGGUGAGUAACACGUGGGUAACCUGCCCAUCAGGAGGGGAUAACACUUGGAAACAGGUGCUAAUACCGUAUAACACUAUUUUCCGCAUGGAAGAAAGUUGAAAGGCGCUUUUGCGUCACUGAUGGAUGGACCCGCGGUGCAUUAGCUAGUUGGUGAGGUAACGGCUCACCAAGGCAACGAUGCAUAGCCGACCUGAGAGGGUGAUCGGCCACACUGGGACUGAGACACGGCCCAGACUCCUACGGGAGGUAGCAGUAGGGACUCUUCGGCAAUGGACGAAAGUCUGACCGAGCAACGCCGCGUGAGUGAAGAAGGUUUUCGGAUCGUAAAACUCUGUUGUUAGAGAAGAACAAGGAUGAGAGUAAAACGUUCAUCCCUUGACGGUAUCUAACCAGAAAGCCACGGCUAACUACGUGCCAGCCGCCGCUGUAA
This 523-nucleotide ribosomal RNA is filed under the name uncultured bacterium. Its description in RNAcentral is "partial 16S ribosomal RNA". It matches the Rfam family "Bacterial small subunit ribosomal RNA", at positions 28 to 523 of the family's 1533-position model. The record is from RNAcentral.